CACACCGCGUGAGUGAAGAAGGGUUUCGGAUCGUAAAGCUCUGUUGUUAGAGAAGAACGUGCGUGAGAGCAACUGUUCACGCUUUGACGGUAUCUAACCAGAAAGUCACGGCUAACUACGUGCCAGCAGCCGCGGUAAUACGUAGGUGGCAAGCGUUAUCCGGAUUUAUUGGGCGUAAAGCGAGCGCAGGCGGUUUGAUAAGUCUGAUGUGAAAGCCUUUGGCUUAACCAAAGAAGUGCAUCGGAAACUGUCUUACUUGAGUGCAGAAGAGGACAGUGGAACUCCAUGUGUAGCGGUGAAAU
Molecule: ribosomal RNA, 302 nt
Filed under: uncultured Lactobacillus sp.
Lineage: Bacteria; Bacillati; Bacillota; Bacilli; Lactobacillales; Lactobacillaceae
Description: bacterial SSU rRNA
Rfam family: Bacterial small subunit ribosomal RNA
Source: RNAcentral